Molecule: transfer RNA, 75 nt
Filed under: Stackebrandtia albiflava
Lineage: Bacteria; Bacillati; Actinomycetota; Actinomycetes; Glycomycetales; Glycomycetaceae
Description: tRNA-Arg
Rfam family: tRNA
About the family: Transfer RNA (tRNA) molecules are approximately 80 nucleotides in length. Their secondary structure includes four short double-helical elements and three loops (D, anti-codon, and T loops).
Source: RNAcentral
GCCCCAUUAGCUCAGGGGAUAGAGCACCGCCCUCCGGAGGCGGGAGCGCAGGUUCGAAUCCUGCAUGGGGCACCA